This is a long non-coding RNA of Ctenopharyngodon idella (grass carp), 295 nucleotides long. RefSeq lists it as uncharacterized. The transcript is spliced from 3 exons. The record is from RefSeq and is a predicted model, not a curated record. NCBI's taxonomy places the organism in Eukaryota, Metazoa, Chordata, Actinopteri, Cypriniformes, Xenocyprididae.
UUCCUCGCGAUGGACGCUCGCUGCGCGCAUUCGGGUAUGACAAUGAAUUAUUCCACAUUUUAUUCGCUUAUAUCGGUUCUUAAAGCGCUAGAAAUGGACAUAAAGCUACUUUAGCUAGCCAGCUAGCUAGCAGCAAUGACAGAAAUGGAGGCCCGCUGUGUGAUGGAGAUAUCGAGGAGGCCGAUGGGGUUCUUCAGGUUUUCUGUCCUUGGCAUGACUAUGACUUUAAUCUAAAAACAGGGAAAUCAAGCACAGGUUUACAGCAACAAGUUUAUGAAGUGAAAUUGGAGGACGG